This 1726-nucleotide long non-coding RNA is filed under the name Fragaria vesca (wild strawberry). RNAcentral describes it as "long non-coding RNA (FVES_LNC004453)". The record is from RNAcentral. Lineage: Eukaryota; Viridiplantae; Streptophyta; Magnoliopsida; Rosales; Rosaceae.
UUGAUUUUCGCCGUGCCAUGUCCAUGUGGUAUAACUAGGACAAANACCGUUUAGUGCCAAGUGAGAAUACAUGUCUUCAUAUGUUACUGAUGUCCGAUUGAGACAUUUGUUGCACGGACAUAUGUGAAUAACUUUGUCUGGAGGACUAUGUAGACGCACGAACUCAAGAAAAUCAAAAAUGCCACUCAUAUAAACUGGGCACCCCUUCCCUAAUUGCAUCCGGCUCUUGUCCAUGUUGUACACUAUAAUAACAAGAAACAAAAAGAUAUAAUCAAAAAAUUGUGAAUAAAAUAAAGCAAGGGAAAUAUAUAUAUAUAUACACACACACACACUUUGUUGGGAAAAUAGACAUUUACUAAAAAAACAAAAAUUUUAAAGCCCAUUUCAAUGAAAAAACUUUUGAGUAACCCAUAUUAAUGUUUUAACACAUCUAACAAUUAAUAUUAUACCCUUGUGAUAUUAAUUAAUUACAUGUUCUCUCUCAUGUAAAAAAAAAAAAAUUACCACGUUCUCCCAGACUCCCACUCUCCACGAUCAACCGAACUCUCACCUUUGCCACUCUCUCUAUCACUCUCUAACACUUGAUAACGAUCUCUGGUUUAGGGUUCUUCACGAUCUCCGUGAUUCCAUCGAUCAGGCCACGUCGCUCUCUCGUUAAAUAUCUGUCGACUCCGUCGCUCUCCGCAUGCAGAUAAAUCCCAGUUGAGCAGGAAAUCGCUCUCUGCCCUAAUCUCAGUUGAUCGAAGUUGAUAUGUGGUUCAAUCUUGGCGUUGCUGUCACGUUCAAUCGCUCAUGCUCGGCGUCACUCUCUGGUUGAAUAUCGGCGUCGAUAUCUGCUUCAAUUGCUCUAACUCGACCUCGCUCGGGAAAACCAUAAAAACAGGUACAUUUUGAAUUUUAUUGAAUUUAGGCUUAUUUUGGACUUUUCUGAUGAUAUUGAAGUUUCAUUCUAGGGAUUAAAGGCCAUGAAUAUGAAAACAUGAAAAUUAUAGGGUUUCUCUGGUCAUAACUGUUACAGAUUGAGAUUAAUUUUAUUUAAGAUUUUCUUUCAAAGAUUUACUGUGUAUAAUUGGCAUGACAAUGAAAGGGAGAUACUGUUUUGUUGUUUACUCUUGUCAAGUAGAAGUUUACUGGGGGGCAGUAAACUUCCACUGUGUCCGGACCUACCCCGGAUUUCCCCUUGAAAUCCGGAAUAAACCCUGCGGGACCCACCUCAAGGGAAAUUCUACCAAAAUUUUGGCAUAACCUCUCUUGAAAAUGAGUAACCCUACCUGAAAGAAAAAUCAUCAAAGCCCAUACACUUCUAAAACAAUUUAAUCCACAUCUUCUGGAGCCAUCUGCUCCCCCAAUAAACAUCCACCACCUCAACUCACAUAAUAAAUCGAAAUAAUUUCAUGAAUUUAAUCUCUCAUAUAACAUGCCAAAUAAACAUUUUUCAACACUCCUAGGUGGAGUCACAAGCUCUUAACACACCACAAGAACAACAACAACCACAUUUAAAACAUCCCAAGGUUAUUCAGAACAUCUACUAGGAAAGAAGGAAAUACAUAGGUAAGUUAACUAGUAAUCUAUGAGAGAAACUGGAUGAGGUGGGAAAUAUGACACGCCUCCUACUCUCGCCGAACAGAGCUCUACAGACUGGGCAUUAAAACGAAAGGCCCAGGGGAAAGCUAUUUAAAACGUUAGAGUGAGUGGACAAAAUAAAUAAUAAAAAUACGGACUUAAU